Xenia sp. Carnegie-2017 is the source of this 365-nucleotide long non-coding RNA. RefSeq lists it as uncharacterized. Lineage: Eukaryota; Metazoa; Cnidaria; Anthozoa; Malacalcyonacea; Xeniidae. The record is from RefSeq and is a predicted model, not a curated record. The transcript has 4 exons.
AUGGCCGAUGACUGACUCAGUUCUUGUGUCAAAAUCAUAUGAUGGAAUGAUUGCCAUUUCGUCAAGCAAAAGAACACAGUCUCUUUCUUGAUCUCCCAUGGAGGAAGCCUUUCAAUGCAAAUUAACCUUCAGUAUACAAUAUUUUGUAUGUUUACCUUCAAUUGCAAUGCUGCAAAAACCUCAUAUGUAAGACCCGAGGAAAAUUCAAUGUGCUCCAUUCGUCGAUUAAGUGUUCUUAUAGAAGUGUGGAAGUGCAAAAUUUCAUUAAUAUACUUCAUCAAUUUAAAAAUGGUAUUGCUUAACCUUUUCCAUAACCAGGCUUCUUGGAAAGCUCUUUCUUCAACAUUUCCGAUUCCUCUCGCAGC